AACGAACGCUGGCGGCAUGCCUAACACAUGCCAGUCGAACGAGACUUUCGGGUCUAGUGGCGCACGGGUGCGUAACGCGUGGGAACCUGCCCUUAGGUUCGGAAUAACUCCCCGAAAGGGGUGCUAAUACCGGAUAAUGUCUUCGGACCAAAGAUUUAUCGCCUUUGGAUGGGCCCGCGUUGGAUUAGCUAGUUGGUAGGGUAAAAGCCUACCAAGGCGACGAUCCAUAGCUGGUCUGAGAGGAUGAUCAGCCACACUGGGACUGAGACACGGCCCAGACUCCUACGGGAGGCAGCAGUGGGGAAUGUUGGACAAUGGGCGAAAGCCUGAUCCAGCAAUGACGCGUGAGUGAUGAAGGCCUUAGGGUUGUAAAGCUCUUUUACCCGGGAUGAUAAUGACAGUACCGGGAGAAUAAGCUCCGGAUAACUACGUG
This 433-nucleotide ribosomal RNA is filed under the name uncultured bacterium. RNAcentral describes it as "partial 16S ribosomal RNA". It matches the Rfam family "Bacterial small subunit ribosomal RNA", at positions 29 to 507 of the family's 1533-position model. The record is from RNAcentral.